Long non-coding RNA from Daktulosphaira vitifoliae (grape phylloxera), 738 nucleotides. RefSeq lists it as uncharacterized. The transcript is spliced from 2 exons. NCBI's taxonomy places the organism in Eukaryota, Metazoa, Arthropoda, Insecta, Hemiptera, Phylloxeridae. The record is from RefSeq and is a predicted model, not a curated record.
GUAGCGGUGGGAGAAAAAUAAUAACCUACACUCGGGUUCCGUCGUUAUAUGAAUGAAACCAGAGAAUAAUACCCAAAGUGGUAGUGGCAACAUGCUGUUAUGAAUGGAGACGGUUAUGAAUGAAAAUACGGUUGGUAGUUGGUACCGGUAAGGUUACAGUUGUAUUAAGGAACUUUGACACUGCCAUGCCUGAUGAUGUUUAAAAGUUAACCAGUAAUAUAUUACACAUAAUGACUGCCAGAAAGAACUCAUCAUCAAUGAUUAAAAGAACGGAAUUUUUUUUACCAGAGAUAUUUCCAAAUAUUUUUGAAUAUUAUAUAAUGAAAAAUUGCAAUAUUAUAUUUUUCACUCUAUUUCCUAAAACAUCGGUCAUCUUUUUAAAUAUAGUAGCACUAUUAAACGACACACGAGGAAUUUCAACCACCAAAUAUUUUUCUUCGUUUUACACAUAAAAUACUAAAAUAUUCACCAAGAAUUCUAGAGAAAUUGUACGUAGUCAAAUGAAUACUUGUAAAAUGGUGAAUUUUAAUUAAUAAAAGUUUUAUUGUGUUUAUUUAUCAUCAUUAAUCACGGCCAAUAUGAAGUAAGAUCCAAUGCAAAUAUAAAAGAUUUUCUUAGACACUUCUUAAGUCUUUUAGUUGGAAAAUAAGAAAAUACUUAUAUUCUGGUUAUGCCAUUAAUUUGACUAAUGAGUUUUCAAGAAAUUCUAAAAAUUACAUUAACUUAUUAUUUUUUUAA